This is a long non-coding RNA of Paramisgurnus dabryanus, 838 nucleotides long. RefSeq lists it as uncharacterized. The record is from RefSeq and is a predicted model, not a curated record. NCBI's taxonomy places the organism in Eukaryota, Metazoa, Chordata, Actinopteri, Cypriniformes, Cobitidae.
AAUGACACGAAUUCCACAGCUUUUUUGCUUAUUGGUAGUUGCUCCCGAAAUUCGCUCAUCAUUUGCGUAAAGUUAAACUUUUUUUAACUUUCUCGCGUUGCUGGACACUUUCGCUCUGAGUGCCGGAAGUUGCCAAGCUUUUAUUGAAAUGAACAAGAUUGUUUCGCGCUGCUACUCCUGGUCGCUGGAUGUCUGAAUGGGACAUUAGAGCUUGUUUCUUGCUAAAUGUAACAAAUUGUCACAUUGUGUGCUCAUGAUGCUGUUAUGUCUGGUUUUCUGUCAGGGUUGGACAUGGAAGAGAGAGAUGGGAUAAAGACUAACAGGCAAGUUUAGUGAAUUGUAUAAACACAAGGUAGCUGAUACCAUGGGAAGCAGAUCUCUGAUGGAGAGCGCAGAUGAAUACAGGAUCGAGUAGAUAGGAAUCCAGAUGGAGUGGAAGAGAAAUUGAAAAUGCAGUCCUAAUGAUCCUAGGGCGAAAGCAAAUAAAUACAAACCACCUGACUUCAGUGGCCCAGUCUCUUCAGGGAAACAGCCACUUGUUACCACAAAUGCGGAUGGAGAGAGGAAGAAAAUGGUGACUUUCCUCCAACCUUUACUGAAAAUCUAGACAGGCUGGAGACAAAGGUGAACAAAUAAUCCAUCAGUAGUGGACCAAACAUGAAGAAAACAACAUGGAAAAUCUGUCCAGAUGUUUGAAGAAGCAAAAUGCACCUUCAGCUAUACAGAACCUCGUCCUUCAGUCUUCUGCAGCAGACGCGGAAAAAUCAGUUCAAGAUUUCUUACUUGGCCUCAGGAAGUGGUUGAUUUAAAAAUGUUGUGGCUUUGUUGUUUAUUGUGG